Molecule: non-coding RNA, 21 nt
Filed under: Caenorhabditis elegans
Lineage: Eukaryota; Metazoa; Nematoda; Chromadorea; Rhabditida; Rhabditidae
Source: RNAcentral
UGAAAUUGAUAUGUAAAAACU